Vicia villosa (hairy vetch) is the source of this 2188-nucleotide long non-coding RNA. RefSeq lists it as uncharacterized. The record is from RefSeq and is a predicted model, not a curated record. The transcript has 6 exons. NCBI's taxonomy places the organism in Eukaryota, Viridiplantae, Streptophyta, Magnoliopsida, Fabales, Fabaceae.
UUUGCUUGAUAGAAUGAAACAAGCGAGGGUUCCUGCUAGUGUGUUGACUUAUAAUACUGUUAUUAAUGCUUGUGCUAAGGGUGGGUUGGAUUGGGAGGGUUUGUUAGGGUUGUUUGAUGAAAUGAGACAUGAAGGGAUACAACCUGAUUUUGUAACUAAUAAUACAUUGCUCAGUGCUUCUGCUCAUAGGGGGUUGGGGGAUGAAGCUGAUUUUGGUUUAAUGGAUUUUAAUAAGGCUUGUCUAAUGUGUUUAUUGAUUGCUAUGAUCAUAAAAUUGAUAGCUUCUAAAUGUUGUUAAUUGAUUGAUAUGGUCAUUAACUCUAUUUGAAGUAAGAGUUCUGGAAUAAUGUUUUUUUCCGAAUUAGCAUUACCUGUGAUUUGGGUUCUAGUUAGUUUAUGUGCCUAUUGUGUUUAUUGAUCGCUAAUUUGCUAUGAUCAUCAAAUCAAUGGUUUUUAAAUGUUGAUAGUGAUUAUUAGAUGUUAGAUUUUUAAUCUAUUUCCUUUUUUAAUACUGAAUUUGAAGUAGAUGACAACUGUCGUUGUAAAAAUCAGAUAUUUGUUCUGCUUCUUGUUUAGAUUUUGUUUUGAAUAGAUGCUGACUGGGUUGAAAUUUUGCAGAAAUAUAUUGGCGAUCAUGAGACUCAAGAAAGGGACUGAGGUGGAAGUGUUAAGCAAAGAUGAGGUGCCUUCUGGCUCCUAGAUAUGUGCAGAGAUUAUUCGUGGUAAGGGCCACCAUUACACUGUUAAGUAUAAGGGGUUUGAAGGUGCUACUGGUGAGGAAAUCGUGGGGAGAGUUUCGAGGAAAUCUGUAAGACCGUUUCCGCCUGCAUUUGAACUCGUGGAGAACUGGACUCCAGGUUAAAUUGUAGAAGUGUAUCGAAAUUUUUCUUGGAAGAUGGCUACUGUUUUGAAGGUUUUGGGGAAAAAGUGCAUUUCUGUUAGGCUAGUUGGAUCUUCAUUGGAAUUCCAAGUUAGCAAAUUUUGAGAUGUGGAGCCACUGUUUCAGCUGUUGCACUUAGCAGGAAGGGUGGUUUGUUGUCAGAGCUUUCUAGAAGACAGAUCAAGGUGUUGGAUGAUAAAGCAGAGCUCAGCUUCAAAACUGCAAUGAAAUAUGAUCUCGUAAUUGCUGGUUCAGCUGUAUGUGCAUCAUGGAUUGAAAGUUAGUAGUGAAAAUCGAGAAAGAGCGUUAAAUCCUCAACAUACUUAUAGAAUGUCACGUUUAGGUUGAAGAUGGUUUGAUGGAAAUAUGCCGACAGGCCCGGUACCAGAUUUCACCGGAUGCACGAACUUAAAGAUCUUGAUUCAUGAUAAGUUCAUUCUCAGGAUUCAUUUUUUUCAGUUUUAAUUUAACUACAACCACUUUUUUCUUAUGCAGUCAUCUUGAGAACAAAUCUUUGGAGAACCUUCUGAAUUUGAGGGAACUGUCAGCUAUCUCGCACUCACGUAUGUUCAGAACAAUAUGUUAUCUUGAACUGUACCGUCUGAACUUUUGAGCAGAAAUUUGGUUUUAAAACCACCUUAUUUCACCCGCUACUCAAAAAAACCUGGAAUCUAAGAGUGAUGGUCAUUUAGAAGUUGCUCACUGCUUCAGUUUUUCUGACAUUAAAAACUAUACGAAUAAUUUUAAGAAAAACAUUGGUUCCGGAGAAAAAUGUGGAAGUUCAAGGUUGCCAAAGGAGGUAGUCCAUGGCUUCGGACGUUGAACAAUCAUGUCCGAAGACAUAUACGAGAGUUCGAUCCUCAUUCCGGACCUCCUCAAGAUCUUGACGAUAUUGAAACUGCUCACUGUAAUUUCACGAUAAUCGCUUCACUCACAAACACAACGAUGAUCUACUUAUGCGCCUUCGGUUUGCAAAAGAAAACCCUAUCAACCAAGUUUUACCCAAAGUCAAAGUCAAAAUAUUGAGGAUAUAACAGAAGAGGCUAUCACAACAACAUUAAGAAGAAGAUUCUGGACACUGGCCACGAGAUUCUGGAGGUCCCAUGUUUCUUAUGUCUAGAUUGGUUAUUACUCUCUCUGUCACCGAGGCUUUGAAUGCAGUCUUAACCGACGAGCAUAAAAAGUAAACGUGUUGGUACCUCUAUAAUCAUCAAAUUUUGUUUAGAAAGUAUGACAAUUUGUUUUGAGAUUUAAAUUGAAGUACUCUUAGCUAGAACACAUGCAUCUACAAAUUUAUCUAUGUAAAUG